GACAGAGGUGCCGAGCGUUAGGCGGAAUCACUGGGCUUAAAGCGUGUGUAGGCGGAUUCCUAAGUACCUUGUGAAAUCCCAUGGCUCAACCAUGGAACUGCUUGGUAUACUGGGUGUCUUGAGCCAACUAGGGGCUACCGGAACAAAUGGUGGAGCGGUGAAAUGCGUAGAUAUCACUUGGAACGCCAAUGGUGAAAACAGGUAGCUGGGGAUGCACCGACGCUGAGACACGAAAGCCAGGGGAGCGAACGGG
This 253-nucleotide ribosomal RNA is filed under the name uncultured bacterium. RNAcentral describes it as "partial 16S ribosomal RNA". It matches the Rfam family "Bacterial small subunit ribosomal RNA", at positions 524 to 776 of the family's 1533-position model. The record is from RNAcentral.